GUCAGCAGCUAGGUUAGCUAAUUUAUUAGCUGUCAGUGCUAGCCUGUCACUCCACAUGUCUGGGAGAAGUGUGUCUGCAGGUACCUGCACAGGUGGAACAAAACGUGCUGCAGUGCGUGUAAUAAAUGUCCAGGAGGCCCAGGUGAAGGUGCAGGACUGUGUGUUGAUUUGAUGUUUGCUGCCACCAGGAGAGAAGUUUUGUUGCAGGUCGAAGGACAACAGCUAGACAACAAACUCACACACAGAGGGGCAUAAAUCAGCUCCCUGCACUGCUCCACAGGCUCUGAAGAACAAAAUCAGCCCUCUCACUCGGGUUCUCCAUCUUCUGGGAAUGCCAUCCUGACAUUAAUGGCCCAUUUAAGCAGCUCCAGCAUAGUGAGACUGGAUUGACUGGAGAGAUCAGGC
Epinephelus fuscoguttatus (brown-marbled grouper) is the source of this 405-nucleotide long non-coding RNA. RefSeq lists it as uncharacterized. Lineage: Eukaryota; Metazoa; Chordata; Actinopteri; Perciformes; Serranidae. The record is from RefSeq and is a predicted model, not a curated record. The transcript has 3 exons.